Molecule: non-coding RNA, 677 nt
Organism: Microcebus murinus (gray mouse lemur)
Lineage: Eukaryota; Metazoa; Chordata; Mammalia; Primates; Cheirogaleidae
Source: the annotation of a RefSeq genome assembly
UCUGGGGCCCAGGCAGGAAAAAUGAGGUCUCAGAAUAACUCCCUCGAGAGCCCCGUUCCUCUUUCAUCACUGCACAGACCCAGAAGUCCCCGCUGUCCUGCCUGACACCUGCCAUGACUGCCAGUCUCCUGGGCUGUGUGGCCUUUUGCCUCCUGUGGGCAGGUUCAGUGACUGCUGGUGUCACCCAGACCCCAAGAUUCCAGAUCCUGAAGACAGGACAGAACAUGACGCUGAUGUGCACCCAGGAUACGAACCAUGACUCCAUGUACUGGUAUCGACAAGACCCUGGGCUGGGGCUGAGGCUGAUCCAUUACUCAGUUGCUGCUGGUACCACUGCCAGGGGAGAUAUCCCUGAAGGCUACAAUGUCUCUAGAUCAAGUACAGAGACCUUCUCCCUCACGAUGGAGUCGGCUACCCCCUCCCAGACAUCUGCGUACUUCUGUGCCAGCAGUGAAUACACAGCGCUACACGGCAGCCUCCUCGCUACACAUAAAGGCAGGGGAGGCUCCGCAUUCCCAGAACUCAGCGAUGCCCUCGGCAGGUUCUCAGUACCAGGACCCUGGAGCCCCGAGGGGCCCGUGCAGUGCGAGCCUGGGUCUGUGCCAGCCCUCUGCCUCUUCUGGAAUCACCUCAUCCCACCCUGUUGCUCAGACGAGCAGAUGCUGCUCCCUCCAUGA